GACGAACGCUGGCGGCGUGCUUAACACAUGCAAGUCGAGCGGUAAGGCCCUUUCGGGGUACGACGAGCGGCGAACGGGUGAGUAACACGUGGGUGACCUGCCCUUAGCUCUGGGAUAAGCCUGGGAAACUGGGUCUAAUACCGGAUAUGACUCCAUGACGCAUGUUGUGGGGUGGAAAGCCUUGUGCGGCUAGGGAUGGGCCCGCGGCCUAUCAGCUUGUUGGUGGGGUGAUGGCCACCAAGGCGACGACGGGUAGCCGGCCUGAGAGGGCGACCGGCCACACUGGGACUGAGACACGGCCCAGACUCCUACGGGAGGCAGCAGUGGGGAAUCUUGCGCAAUGGGCGAAAGCCUGACGCAGCGACGCCGCGUGAGGGAUGACGGCCUCGG
This 390-nucleotide ribosomal RNA is filed under the name uncultured bacterium. Its description in RNAcentral is "bacterial SSU rRNA". It matches the Rfam family "Bacterial small subunit ribosomal RNA", at positions 28 to 420 of the family's 1533-position model. The record is from RNAcentral.